UCCUUCUCCUCAGCAGUUGCCACUGCCAAGGCAACAUACUACCACUCUAAAAUACACAAAUCUAUUGCUAACCCCAGGCAACUGUUUUCAAUUUUCUCCUCUCUCCUCAGUAAACCCUCACCUCCAACUCAGACCUCCCUUACUGCUGAAGACUUCGCAGCCUUCUUCGAAGCAAAGGUCACACUCAUCCGCAGCUCCCUUGACCCUCCCGACUCCCCACCCUUCCCUCCCCCCAUCCCCUCUAUGACCCUCCCCACAUUCUCCACCUUCUCCCCACCUCUCUCCCUGAUGUCUCCCAACUCUUGCUCUCCCACCGUCCCACCACCUGUGCCCUUGAUCCCCUCCCCUCUACCCUCCUCCAGCUGAUCUCACCAGAGAUCAUCCCCUUCAUCGCCCACCUGAUUAACUCCUCCCUGACUUCUGGCACCUUCCCGUCAUCUUUCAAAAGAGCCCACAUCACCCCCAUUCUGAAGAAACCAACACUGGACCCCUGCCUCACCCAGAACUACAGACCGACCCUCAGCAGUCUGGUUUCAGACCCGGUCACUCGACGGAGACUGCCCUGCUCUCCGUCACUGAGUCUCUCCACGCAGCAUCCCGUUCAUCUGUCCUAAUUCUUCUUGACCUCUCAGCUGCCUUCGACACCGUUGACCAUCCUACACUUCUGUCUUCCCUGACAGAAUUGGGAAUUUGCGGACCAGCCCUCAACUGGAUUGCGUCCUAUCUCUCCGGCCGCUCCUUCCAGGUUGCCUGGGCCGGUGCAGUAUCAGCUCCUCGUCCCCUCACAACUGGGGUCCCUCAGGGCUCUGUCCUUGGUCCCCUCCUCUUUUCUCUGUAUACUAGGUCCCUUGGCCCUGUUAUUGCCGCCCAUGGCAUGUCAUAUCAUCUCUAUGCAGAUGAUAUUCAACUUUUCUACUCUUUCUCUCCCACAGACACUCAGGUCUCCGAUCGCAUAUCCGCCUGCCUGAGUGACAUCCAGAGCUGGAUGACCAAACACCAGCUCAAGCUCAACACAAGCAAAACGGAACUUCUCCAUAUUCCUUCUCUUACCUCUCCCACUUCUCAUCUGCCCAUUUCUUUAGGAGACACUCCCCUACACCCUUCGCAGAGUGCCCGAAAUCUUGGAGUUGUGCUGGACAACAGGCUGUCACUCUCUGAGAAUAUCGCGGCAACCACCCGGUCGUGCAGGUUCAUCCUGUACAAUAUCCGCAGAAUAAGACCACUCCUCACCAAUUAUUCCACACAGCUCCUGGUCCAGGCCAUGAUACUGUCACGUCUGGACUACUGCAACUCCCUCCUGGCUGGCCUCCCAGCAUCAGCCACCAGACCCCUUCAGCUCAUCCAGAAUGCAGCAGCACGUCUGGUUUACAACCUCCCUCGUGACUCCCACGUCACUCCCCUCCUCAUCUCCCUCCACUGGCUACCAGUGCAAGCUCGCAUCCGGUUUAAGACACUGGUGCUUGCUUUCCAAGCAGUCAAGGGUCAGCUCCUGGUUAUCUGCAGAAGAUGAUCAGACCCUACAAGCCGGCCAGAUCGCUCCGAUCGGCUACUACAGGGCGGCUGAUUCCUCCCCCAACACGAGCAGCAACAAGGUCUCGACUCUUUGCAGUUCUGGCCCCACGAUGGUGGAACGAUCUUCCAGUGGAGGUCAGAACAGCAGAGUGUCUGAGCACCUUCAAACGGAAACUCAAGACGCACCUCUUCUCUGUGUACCUCUCUCCUCUUCCCUAAACCCCCUCCCAUAACUAUUAAAAAAAAAAAAAAAAAAAAAAAAAAAAUUUUUGGUUCAGACUAUCUUGUUUCUCCUUAAUGUAUGCUACCAUAGUAAAGGCUUUUUAUCUGCAUUUUGUUCAAUGGACUUAAGUGGACUUGAUCCUGAGUUUGGUUACACUGUUGUAAGUCGCUCUGGAUAAGAGCGUCAGCUAAAUGCCUAUAAUGUAAUGUAAUGUAAUGUAAUGUAAUA
Molecule: long non-coding RNA, 1963 nt
Organism: Anguilla rostrata (American eel)
Lineage: Eukaryota; Metazoa; Chordata; Actinopteri; Anguilliformes; Anguillidae
Exons: 2
Source: RefSeq, a predicted model, not a curated record